AACCCAUGCAUCAGACAUUUUCUAAGUAAUUCUUUAAAUAUUUCUCAGGCUUCAUACAGCGUUUCAUCCUCUAACUGUCAAAAAGAUGUUAUGUCAUUUCUGAGAUU
This 107-nucleotide small nucleolar RNA is filed under the name Gossypium hirsutum (cotton). RNAcentral's name for it is "Plant small nucleolar RNA R71". It matches the Rfam family "Plant small nucleolar RNA R71". From Rfam's summary of the family: R71 is a member of the C/D box family of snoRNAs containing the C (UGAUGA) and D (CUGA) box motifs. RNAcentral also lists the same sequence under 1 other name. Lineage: Eukaryota; Viridiplantae; Streptophyta; Magnoliopsida; Malvales; Malvaceae. The record is from Rfam by way of RNAcentral.